GGGGCGAUGGCGUAACGGCAGCCGCGGGAGACUUAAAAUCUUUUGUCCUAACGGACGUGUGGGUUCAAGUCCCACUCGCCCCA
RNAcentral lists this transfer RNA (83 nucleotides) under Anaerolineae bacterium. RNAcentral describes it as "tRNA-Leu". It matches the Rfam family "tRNA". Rfam says of the family: Transfer RNA (tRNA) molecules are approximately 80 nucleotides in length. Their secondary structure includes four short double-helical elements and three loops (D, anti-codon, and T loops). Further hydrogen bonds mediate the characteristic L-shaped molecular structure. tRNAs have two regions of fundamental functional importance: the anti-codon, which is responsible for specific mRNA codon recognition, and the 3' end, to which the tRNAs corresponding amino acid is attached (by aminoacyl-tRNA synthetases). tRNAs cope with the degeneracy of the genetic code in two manners: having more than one tRNA (with a specific anti-codon) for a particular amino acid; and 'wobble' base-pairing, i.e. permitting non-standard base-pairing at the 3rd anti-codon position. Lineage: Bacteria; Bacillati; Chloroflexota; Anaerolineae. The record is from RNAcentral.